This 225-nucleotide ribosomal RNA is filed under the name Bacillus cereus. RNAcentral's name for it is "partial 16S ribosomal RNA". It matches the Rfam family "Bacterial small subunit ribosomal RNA", at positions 1 to 219 of the family's 1533-position model. The record is from RNAcentral. RNAcentral also lists the same sequence under 1 other name. Lineage: Bacteria; Bacillati; Bacillota; Bacilli; Caryophanales; Bacillaceae.
UUUAUUGGAGAGUUUGAUCCUGGCUCAGGAUGAACGCUGGCGGCGUGCCUAAUACAUGCAAGUCGAGCGAAUGGAUUAAGAGCUUGCUCUUAUGAAGUUAGCGGCGGACGGGUGAGUAACACGUGGGUAACCUGCCCAUAAGACUGGGAUAACUCCGGGAAACCGGGGCUAAUACCGGAUAACAUUUUGAACUGCAUGGUUCGAAAUUGAAAGGCGGCUUCGGCU